CCUGAGGUUUGGGGUAUUCUCACCUUGAUAGAAUGUAUUCACGUAUUCUCAGUGACCUCCCCUCACGUUAGUAUUCUCAUUCUUAGACUGUUUGUUGACUGACAAAAUGUCUAAAAUAUCAUUGACUUAAGAAAAAUAUAUUUUUCAUGUUCAAAACAGUGCAUUGUUGGUUGAUAGCAUUACAUCUGUUUUGGCGCCAAAGGCUAUAAACACAAUAAAGUUACCAGAUCAUUAUCAUCCAUUCCCAAAAUAAUUUACAGCUGAAUUAGGGUAAAAAAAUUAAAAAUAAAUUUAGAAAUUAUAAUUGUUACUGCCAAUAUUUAUGUUUGUUGGCUAUAUAAUUAGCUAUUGCCAAGCUCAACAAACAACAAAGCCUCUGCUACUCAUAACUAAAGCUUUCUUCUUCCUUCAACAUUAUCAAAACAUCACUACCAAUAUCCUCUCAUACCUCCAUAUCAACCAUGCAUCUACAAACUCUUCAAAAAUCAUUCAAAUCUCACCACUUUCCAAUCAUUAUUCAAAGUUGGAACACCUAUGCAUGUCAAUGUAUUCUCAAAGAACACUCUUGCUGCCAAAGCUGCUGCUGCAUGAUUAAUUAUCGACUAUCUCUUUAGGCUUGAGUUAAUUGCCCUUUAUUAAUAAAAAUAUCGUAUUAGUAUGCAAUUUAUAGUGAAUAUAAGUUAUGGAAAUAUUGUAAACACAUACAUAAGUAGAUUCAAACAAUCGUGGUUCUACUCGUUAAACACUGUUAUGCUGCAAAACAUACUACGAUAUACUUGAUUUCAACAGUAGUAGCAACUUAUAUUUCUAUUCAAUCUAACAACAUUUUGCAGAAAUUUUAAUGCAAAGAGACUACGUAUAACAGAACUAAGAUUUUAUUCAUAACAGAAAUAACAAGUUAUUGCCAAUCACCAAGUCAUUGCAGUUGAUCUAUCACAAAAUUUAUAUCUUUUUUUUUUCUUGUUUUAACAUUAUGGAACCAUUACUUUAUUAUUUCAAUGUACACCAAUAUUAAGCCCUAUCAUGCAGCUUCAUUAUUGACACUUUCUAUUGAUGAAAUUACAACUGAUGAACAACCAAAUAAAACAUUUAAGUGAAUCUUAAAGACUAAACACACUGACCCAACACAAAAUGGUUGGCAACCAUCUAACACUAUAGAACACAGUUGAUGAAGAUAACCUUUCAAAUGAAUUUUGUAUUAACAUGUUGCUGCAUACAUAUAUAAUCUUACAACUUUAUGGAAAAUCACACUAAAAAUGAACAGAAUCUUGGAUUUUCUAAAACUAGAAAAUCUCAAUAAUACAAAAAAAUCUAAUGUCCUUAAAUAUUACAUUUACUCCUAAUGGUUAUAAAUUCAAUCAAGGCAUGUCAAAUACCAAAAAGCUAUCCGCGAAAAGGAUUGAAGCAUUUUCUUUUAUAGAAUACUAAUUACAAACUUCAAUUUAUUUUCAACAUGCAUUUGGGUUACUCCAUUCACUACAACUAACAUUAAUUGAUGACAAAAAUAAGAAGCAUCAGCCAUAUUCUCAAUCAAUUUUGAAGAUCCAUUUUCAUAUUUUACUCAACUCAUCAACAAAGCAAACAAAAACUAACAUGCACUAAAAGUUCUUCAUACAUACCUCAUCUGUGGCUUGGAAAAAGUAAGGUAUUAACUGGUAGCCCAUGAAACUCACUGGUCGGUACUCUCUGACCUCGCGGCCUUAAAUCGUUCAUCGCCCGUAUUGGAGUCCUCAACUUCACCGUCAUGGUCCUCAAUUUAUGGGCAAAGUGCUUGAUGAAAGUAUAAGAGAGAAAUUGAAAUAGAUUUUAAGCUUGGUUGCUUCGGCUUUGGCAGAGGAAAGAGAUGAUAACUUUUCAUUUUGUAUUAAUAUUUGUUGAGUAAAAGCAUGUUUACAAGGUAUAAAAGCAUGUUUCAAUUUAUUACCCUAUGGAUAUUAACAAAG
RNAcentral lists this long non-coding RNA (1943 nucleotides) under Citrus x clementina. RNAcentral describes it as "Citrus clementina (C. clementina) long non-coding RNA (CCLE_LNC003271)". The record is from RNAcentral. Lineage: Eukaryota; Viridiplantae; Streptophyta; Magnoliopsida; Sapindales; Rutaceae.